Molecule: ribosomal RNA, 468 nt
Filed under: uncultured bacterium
Lineage: Bacteria
Description: partial 16S ribosomal RNA
Rfam family: Bacterial small subunit ribosomal RNA
Source: RNAcentral
GACGAACGCUGGCGGCGUGCUUAACACAUGCAAGUCGAACGGAAAGGCCCUGCUUUUGUGGGGUGCUCGAGUGGCGAACGGGUGAGUAACACGUGAGUAACCUGCCCUUGACUUUGGGUUAACUUCAGGAAACUGGGGCUAAUACCGGAUAGGAGCUCCUGCUGCAUGGUGGGGGUUGGAAAGUUUCGGCGGUUGGGGAUGGACUCGCGGCUUAUCAGCUUGUUGGUGGGGUAGUGGCUUACCAAGGCUUUGACGGGUAGCCGGCCUGAGAGGGUGACCGGCCACAUUGGGACUGAGAUACGGCCCAGACUCCUACGGGAGGCAGCAGUGGGGAAUAUUGCACAAUGGGCGGAAGCCUGAUGCAGCAACGCCGCGUGCGGGAUGACGGCCUUCGGGUUGUAAACCGCUUUCGCCUGUGACGAAGCGUGAGUGACGGUAAUGGGUAAAGAAGCACCGGCUAACUAUGUG